This 1348-nucleotide long non-coding RNA is filed under the name Calidris pugnax (ruff). RNAcentral describes it as "lncRNA (ENSCPUG00000014039.1)". The record is from RNAcentral. Lineage: Eukaryota; Metazoa; Chordata; Aves; Charadriiformes; Scolopacidae.
AUGUCCCUUCCACGAUGCUGGUAUAGUCCUAUGACUUGCCACCAAGCGUGGACACAGAGGGUGGGACUUUUUAACCUCUCCAUAUUUUCAAUCGUGCACCUUUACACUGGUUUAAUUUCACCCCUUCCAGGGCUCCCUUUGCCUUUGCUCGUGCAGGGGAAAACAGCACCGUGCUCAGCCCACGGAGACACAAAGGCAAACGCACACAGGGAGAUCACCACGUCGGACCAGGACUGGUUGAAAUUUGACUUUUCUCCCCGGCGGCCCAGGCAGGGCAGGUUUUUGCCAUUGCACUGCCAUCUAGUGAUGCGAGGCCGCAAGGCAAAACAGCUGGGAAAAGAUGGCUGACCACCAGCAAGGGCCUGGGUCAAGUUCUGAAAGGAGGCUCCAGAACGACAUUCCACUCGAUUAAACAGCAAGAAUUGCAAAAGGCACCCCCAGUGGUGGCCCUCAACCAUUUAUGGGAAAGAUAAGUGUUAUGCUACGUACGACAACGAACAGCUUACAUAGAAGGGGUUGCCUGGAAGCUCAUCCAUUAUCCACCUGUUGUCCAUGGUAGGGGACAUUCAGGACACGCAGUUGGCAACCUCAAGUCUCAAAGUCCAGCUGCUCACCUGAUACAAGCUCCUAUUGCUCUACUGAUUUGGAGCUGCCAAGCCUACCUUCAAGGCCUCAAGACUGACUCUCCUGCAAGUGCCUGAAAGCCUUUGGCCGUGUUUCUUCCAGCUUUACUGGACACGUUCCUCAGUAUAACUCCCUCUUGCCUUCAGCUCAGUUGUAUCGGAGCAUCUGGGCCAAAUUUAUUCUCUUUGUAAUUCAUUUCAGUGGUUUCCACCAUGGACCACUUUGAUGGUCUCUACCCACAGCCAUUACUACGGUCAAUGUAAAUCCAAAAAGGAUUUACUAAGCAAGCACGUAGUAUUCCUUCCAGAAAAUCCUCCUUAUAAUCCUCACGCCCAAGAGCUGGACAGCACAGUUAAGGCUUAACGUAUGAACCUGAAAUGAACUGACCUUGAUGAGUUAAAAUCCCAGUCCUAACGUUUUACUCAUGGGGAGGAUAUUUGUCCUCAGCGGUAUGUGUGUCAGAGGGCGUGAAAAGUGAGAGUGUCUUGAGGUUACCAAUUGUUCAUACUCAUAGUGGAUGAAUCAUAUGAUAACGCCACAGCAACAUCCUGUAUAAUUGUCGGGAGCCUCUAUUUCUGGCAGUGUGUCCCUAGUCUGUCUCAUGAGUAAACCUUAUUUGUGCUUUACUAUAUAAAACCAAAACCAAACAGAAUUAUACAACAGGACACUAGGCUGCAGGCACCAGCCAAAAUCACAAGUGCCUAAUUGAGCCUUCAGUUACCCA